This 259-nucleotide ribosomal RNA is filed under the name uncultured bacterium. RNAcentral describes it as "partial 16S ribosomal RNA". It matches the Rfam family "Bacterial small subunit ribosomal RNA", at positions 524 to 776 of the family's 1533-position model. The record is from RNAcentral.
GACGUAGGGUGCGAGCGUUGUCCGGAUUUAUUGGGCGUAAAGAGCUCGUAGGCGGCUUGUUGCGUCGGCAUGUCGAAAACCCGCCAGCUCAACUGUGGGCUUGCAGCCGAUACGGGCAGGCUUGAGUUCGGGUAGGGGAGACUGGAAUUCCUGGUGUAGCGGUAGAAAUGCGCAGAUAUCAGGAGGAACACCGGUGGCGAAGGCCGGUUCUCUGGGCAUGUCCUGACGCUGAGGAGCGAAAGUGUGGGGAGCGAACAGG